UGUCAGAAGUGGGAUUCGAACCCACGCCUCCAGAGGAGACUGCGACCUUAACGCAGCGCCUUAGACCGCUCGGCCAUCCUGAC
RNAcentral lists this transfer RNA (83 nucleotides) under Cricetulus griseus (Chinese hamster). Its description in RNAcentral is "tRNA-Leu". Lineage: Eukaryota; Metazoa; Chordata; Mammalia; Rodentia; Cricetidae. The record is from RNAcentral.